Molecule: long non-coding RNA, 375 nt
Filed under: Trifolium pratense (red clover)
Lineage: Eukaryota; Viridiplantae; Streptophyta; Magnoliopsida; Fabales; Fabaceae
Description: long non-coding RNA (TPRA_LNC002302)
Source: RNAcentral
CCUGUUACAAAAAAAGCCACAGUUAGUUUGUUCUGUUAUUAAUACUAGUGUGCAUACGGAUACUGUAUUCGUCAGUAUUAAGAAGUCUAGAGUUCGAUUCGUGAUGGUAACUAACAAGUCCCCGAAGGUGUAGCCUAAUAAUAUGAGUUGAGACGUAGAAAGUGUAAUAAGAAGGAGAUUCAAAGUUCAAUCGGCUCUGAUACCAUCUUAGAUUUUUAUAGUGUCUAACUCAUCCUUACAAAACCAGCUUGUAAGGUGAGGAUUGCCUCUUCUUUAUAAACACAUAUUUAGGCCAUCUCGCAAUCGAUGUGAGGCUUCUUAACAUUUUCCUCUCCCAUCUAACAAAUUAACCAUAACAGUUGCAUAUGAAAAAAC